This 551-nucleotide ribosomal RNA is filed under the name uncultured bacterium. Its description in RNAcentral is "bacterial SSU rRNA". It matches the Rfam family "Bacterial small subunit ribosomal RNA", at positions 774 to 1329 of the family's 1533-position model. The record is from RNAcentral.
AGGAUUAGAUACCCUGGUAGUCCGCACAGUAAACGAUGAAUGCUAGCUGUUGGCGAUACACAGUCAGUGGCACAGCGAAAGCGUUAAGCAUUCCACCUGGGGAGUACGCCGGCAACGGUGAAACUCAAAGGAAUUGACGGGGGCCCGCACAAGCGGAGGAACAUGUGGUUUAAUUCGAUGAUACGCGAGGAACCUUACCCGGGCUUGAAUUGCAUCUGAAUAUGCCGGAAACGGUAUAGCUAGCAAUAGCAGAUGUGAAGGUGCUGCAUGGUUGUCGUCAGCUCGUGCCGUGAGGUGUCGGCUUAAGUGCCAUAACGAGCGCAACCCUCAUCAUUAGUUACUAACAGGUCAAGCUGAGGACUCUAAUGAGACUGCCGGCGUAAGCUGUGAGGAAGGUGGGGAUGACGUCAAAUCAGCACGGCCCUUACGUCCGGGGCGACACACGUGUUACAAUGGGGGGGACAGCAGGCUGCGAAGUGGUGACACCGAGCGAAUCCUCAAACCCUCUCUCAGUUCGGAUCGAAGUCUGCAACCCGACUUCGUGAAGCUGG